This is a long non-coding RNA of Helianthus annuus (common sunflower), 444 nucleotides long. RefSeq lists it as uncharacterized. Lineage: Eukaryota; Viridiplantae; Streptophyta; Magnoliopsida; Asterales; Asteraceae. The record is from RefSeq and is a predicted model, not a curated record. The transcript is spliced from 3 exons.
GUCCCAGUAAAAAUAAAUGGUCACCAUUAUUAACUAUGCUAUUUUGAAAUGGGUUUAGAAAAGGGAGCAUGAGGGAGAUGAAGAUCUCAAUGACAUUCACAGGCACAAGAAAAGUAAGCACAAGAGCUCAAAAAUGGAUGAAAUGGGUGCAAUAAAGGUAGCAGCUUGAAAGUGGCAUGUGAUCUAUAUUAUUGUCUGUCGUCGAUGUCGCAUAUGAAAAUUCAAGAGGUCCUUACUUAGUGUAGUCAUGUCGAGAACCGUCUGAUCUGUUUGUAGCUGCUUUGAAGCAUCCAAGAACUCCGACAAAUCCUUCUUUGGAUUACCUGUCUGCAGAUUCAGAUCAUAUGAGCAAAAGAACGAGAAUCAUGGGGAUAACCGAAGAGGUUACAUAUCUUUAUAAAACAAUGUUAAAAACAGUAUGUGUGACAUUUUUGCAGUAAUACA